Non-coding RNA from Podarcis lilfordi (Lilford's wall lizard), 132 nucleotides. NCBI's taxonomy places the organism in Eukaryota, Metazoa, Chordata, Lepidosauria, Squamata, Lacertidae. The record is from the annotation of a GenBank genome assembly.
AUAUGUUUAGGAGACCCCCUAAUCCCCUCAGAGAGCUACAAUUCAGAAUGUUUUUGACCAUCAAAAACUUCUUUGCAGGUUAAUCUGGAAAUUGUAGCUCUCUGAGGGGAUUAGGGGGUCUCCUAAUCAUUC